RNAcentral lists this ribosomal RNA (650 nucleotides) under Halorubrum persicum. Its description in RNAcentral is "bacterial SSU rRNA". It matches the Rfam family "Archaeal small subunit ribosomal RNA", at positions 196 to 845 of the family's 1478-position model. The record is from RNAcentral. Lineage: Archaea; Methanobacteriati; Methanobacteriota; Halobacteria; Halobacteriales; Haloferacaceae.
CCGGCGCCGAAGGAUGUGGCUGCGGCCGAUUAGGUAGACGGUGGGGUAACGGCCCACCGUGCCAAUAAUCGGUACGGGUCAUGAGAGUGAGAACCCGGAGACGGAAUCUGAGACAAGAUUCCGGGCCCUACGGGGCGCAGCAGGCGCGAAACCUUUACACUGCACGCCAGUGCGAUAAGGGGAUCCCAAGUGCGCAGGCAUAGAGCCUGCGCUUUUGUACACCGUAGGGAGGUGUACGAAUAAGGGCUGGGCAAGACCGGUGCCAGCCGCCGCGGUAAUACCGGCAGCCCGAGUGAUGGCCGAUCUUAUUGGGCCUAAAGCGUCCGUAGCUGGCCGCACAAGUCCAUCGGAAAAUCCACCCGCCCAACGGGUGGGCGUCCGGUGGAAACUGUGUGGCUUGGGACCGGAAGGCGCGACGGGUACGUCCGGGGUAGGAGUGAAAUCCCGUAAUCCUGGACGGUCCGCCGAUGGCGAAAGCACGUCGCGAGGACGGAUCCGACAGUGAGGGACGAAAGCCAGGGUCUCGAACCGGAUUAGAUACCCGGGUAGUCCUGGCCGUAAACAAUGUCUGUUAGGUGUGGCUCCCACUACGAGUGGGUGCUGUGCCGUAGGGAAGCCGCUAAACAGACCGCCUGGGAAGUACGUCCGCA